UACGGAGGAUGCGAGCGUUAUCCGGAUUUAUUGGGUUUAAAGGGUGCGUAGGCGGCACGGCAAGCCGGCGGUCAAAUCGCGGGGCUCAACCCCGCCCAGCCGUCGGAACUGCCGGGCUAGAGUGGGCGAGAAGUGCGCGGAAUGCGUGGUGUAGCGGUGAAAUGCAUAGAUAUCACGCAGAACUCCGAUUGCGAAGGCAGCGCACCGGCGCCCUACUGACGCUCAGGCACGAAAGCGUGGGUACCGAACAGG
This 252-nucleotide ribosomal RNA is filed under the name uncultured bacterium. RNAcentral describes it as "partial 16S ribosomal RNA". It matches the Rfam family "Bacterial small subunit ribosomal RNA", at positions 524 to 776 of the family's 1533-position model. The record is from RNAcentral.